CAUUACAUACCCUUUCACUACAUUCAUAAAAAAAAUAUAGACCAAAAUACCCUGUCUUCUUCUUUCAUCCCUUUCUCCCUUUCCAUUCUCUUUUCUUUUGCAGGCAACGAACUCCGACGAGCAACCACCCGCGUCAUGCUGCAGGCCUGCAGCAGGUCCCUGCCUCCAUUUACGGUAACUGCGGCGGAGAGAGACAGACUGAGGAGAGAGAGCUCCAGUGCUUGUCGUCGCCGCCGCCACCGCUGACGAGUUGCAAAUGGUGCGGCCUGUGGGGUUCUCGCAAGUGCUCAUGGAUCGAUCUGAAUCUAAGCAGAGAUCUGAGGGGUCUCACACUUGGAAGAAAAUUUGUGUGAAAAGGAUUAUCUUGUCACGUGAAGAACGUUUCUGCUGAUUAAUCUGAAUUCAGGCGAUCGGCCACCCUGAAUGUCGUGUCCUGUGAGCAUGGAGGUCGCUACCCCACCUGCUCCACUCGAGCAGCCGCGCCGAGUUCCUGGACGCCUUGCGCCGUUGCGGGGCGCUCUCACCAGCGGCGCCGAGGAACAGACACCUUCUACAAAGCUGCAGAGCACGCCAGGCAGCAGAAACGGCAGGGAGUUCUUCCAGCGGGACGUGCGACAUCUCGUCAGAAUUUAUUGUCUGGAAGAGGAGAUAGAGGGAAGGAAGAAAGGAUGAACAGAGAAGAUGCGGAUAUUUUGGUCCAAAAAAUUUGAUAAACACAGUGAAGGGGUAUGCAGUGGCGUAUCUCAUAUAGUUGUAAAAUUACGAUGACUUCGUUACAAAUAGACAAAUUGUAAUGACAUAUUUUAAAACUGAACAAAUUCUGAUGGUACGGAUCCGAUUAACCUUAAAAAGAAACCAUACUACAUUGUGAUAGUCGGCGCAUGCAUGUUAAAAAUCAGUCUAAAAUAUGAUAGAACCAACCGAGUAAAGAAUUGUUUGUGCCUGUAGCAGUUUGGCUAUGAUUGGGGGAUUCUUUUUUUCAACAUGAGUCCCACGAUUCGAUUUAACACUACAUAUAACCUUAUCUUUUUCUUAUACUUAUGCUUAUAUUUA
Molecule: long non-coding RNA, 1053 nt
Organism: Oryza sativa Japonica Group (Japanese rice)
Lineage: Eukaryota; Viridiplantae; Streptophyta; Magnoliopsida; Poales; Poaceae
Source: RefSeq, a predicted model, not a curated record